GGGCGGGGGCACGGGGGGACUCCUACGGGAGGCAGCAGUCGGGAAUUUUGGGCAAUGGGCGAAAGCCUGACCCAGCAACGCCGCGUGAAGGAUGAAGUCUUUCGGGAUGUAAACUUCGUAAGAAUAGGAAGAAUAAAUGACGGUACUAUUUGUAAGGUCCGGCUAACUACGUGCCAGCAGCCGCGGUAAUACGUAGGGACCAAGCGUUGUUCGGAUUUACUGGGCGUAAAGGGCGCGUAGGCGGCGUGUCAAGUCAAUUGUGAAAUCUCCGAGCUUAACUCGGAACGGUCAAUUGAUACUGAUGUGCUAGAGUGCAGAAGGGGCAAUCGGAAUUCUUGGUGUAGCGGUGAAAUGCGUAGAUAUCAAGAGGAACACCUGAGGUGAAGACGGGUUGCUGGGCUGACACUGACGCUGAGGCGCGAAAGCUAGGGUAGCAAACGGGAUUAGAUACCCCGGUAGUCCUAGCCCUAAACGAUGAAUACUUGGUGUCUGGAGUUUUAAUUCUCCGGGUGCCGUCGCUAACGUUUUUAGUAUUCCGCCUGGGGAGUACGCACGCAAGUGUGAAACUCAAAGGAAUUGACGG
RNAcentral lists this ribosomal RNA (583 nucleotides) under uncultured bacterium. RNAcentral's name for it is "bacterial SSU rRNA". It matches the Rfam family "Bacterial small subunit ribosomal RNA", at positions 302 to 916 of the family's 1533-position model. The record is from RNAcentral.